UAACCAAAAUGAUUUAGUUCGCAAGUUUACAAACAUUUUUAUCCUAAAGGAAUAAAAAUAUCUUUCCUAGUAAAAUUUCAAAGCACAUUAUUUCUUUGUACACUCUAAUCCCUCCACCCCGAUAUAACGCAGUUUCACCUAUAACGUGGUAAGAUUUUUUGGCUCCCGAGGACUGCGUUAUAUCAGGGUAGAGGUGUAGAUCGUGUUAAUAGCCGUCUCGAAU
Molecule: long non-coding RNA, 223 nt
Organism: Dermochelys coriacea (leatherback sea turtle)
Lineage: Eukaryota; Metazoa; Chordata; Testudines; Dermochelyidae
Exons: 3
Source: RefSeq, a predicted model, not a curated record